GCCACCUUAAACCUGGGAGGUGGGUGGAGAGGCAGGCGCAGACACGGGGAGCAAAAACUUCCUGCUUGCAGUGGUAGGAGCACCCAGGGCAUCCCCUUCUUGCUGUGAAGUUGGGUGAAUAGAUGGGUGCUACUCUGUGAAGCUCCCCAAGACCUGGAUUGCUGAUGGCUCCAUGCUGUGGAAAGCCCCUUGAGCCAGUGGGAUGAAUCUCAGGUGCUCAUUCAGGCUGUCCCCUCCUGCCUCAUGGAGAGCUGAAUGCUGGAGAUAAUUCUGAGUCUAUAAAACUUUGCUGGAUAUAGCUCUGUUUGCAGGCCCUCAUUCCAGUUUUGAGGAUAUCCCCAGAGUUUGUGCUACAGCUGUGCAAUCAUCUGACUUGGAGCUUCGACCAGAGGCUGCACAAAGGCAAACUGUGCAAACCUGCUUUCCCCCUUGCACCUAGCACCUGUGACACUCUGCUCCUCACAGACCUCAGUAAAAUGAAGACUGCACCUCUUGGCAGGUCUUGAAAAGCAGGUUAGUCAAAUGUCUGCCAGGAAUGGCUCAGAUGUACUUUCUCCUGCAUUGGACUGGAAGAAUGGUGUUCUACAAGCAUAGGAAAUUAUAUCACCUGAUGGUUGGACUAUUAGAUGGAUGACAACUACAGUGCUAGCUACUAGCCAAAUUGUCUGCCUGGGGACAUGGUGGAGUCACCAUCCCUGGAUGUG
Molecule: non-coding RNA, 704 nt
Organism: Cyanistes caeruleus (blue tit)
Lineage: Eukaryota; Metazoa; Chordata; Aves; Passeriformes; Paridae
Source: RefSeq, a predicted model, not a curated record